Molecule: ribosomal RNA, 2930 nt
Filed under: Bacillus amyloliquefaciens
Lineage: Bacteria; Bacillati; Bacillota; Bacilli; Caryophanales; Bacillaceae
Description: bacterial LSU rRNA
Rfam family: Bacterial large subunit ribosomal RNA
Source: RNAcentral
GGUUAAGUUAGAAAGGGCGCACGGUGGAUGCCUUGGCACUAGGAGCCGAUGAAGGACGGGACGAACACCGAUAUGCUUCGGGGAGCUGUAAGCAAGCUUUGAUCCGGAGAUUUCCGAAUGGGGAAACCCACCACUCGUAAUGGAGUGGUAUCCAUAUCUGAAUACAUAGGAUAUGAGAAGGCAGACCCGGGGAACUGAAACAUCUAAGUACCCGGAGGAAGAGAAAGCAAAUGCGAUUCCCUGAGUAGCGGCGAGCGAAACGGGACCAGCCCAAACCAAGAGGCUUGCCUCUUGGGGUUGUAGGACACUCUGUACGGAGUUACAAAGGAACGAGGUAGAUGAAGAGGCCUGGAAAGGCCCGCCAUAGGAGGUAACAGCCCUGUAGUCAAAACUUCGUUCUCUCCUGAGUGGAUCCUGAGUACGGCGGAACACGUGAAAUUCCGUCGGAAUCCGGGAGGACCAUCUCCCAAGGCUAAAUACUCCCUAGUGACCGAUAGUGAACCAGUACCGUGAGGGAAAGGUGAAAAGCACCCCGGAAGGGGAGUGAAAGAGAUCCUGAAACCGUGUGCCUACAAGUAGUCAGAGCCCGUUAACGGGUGAUGGCGUGCCUUUUGUAGAAUGAACCGGCGAGUUACGAUCCCGUGCAAGGUUAAGCAGAAGAUGCGGAGCCGCAGCGAAAGCGAGUCUGAAUAGGGCGAAUUGAGUACGUGGUCGUAGACCCGAAACCAGGUGAUCUACCCAUGUCCAGGGUGAAGUUCAGGUAACACUGAAUGGAGGCCCGAACCCACGCACGUUGAAAAGUGCGGGGAUGAGGUGUGGGUAGGGGUGAAAUGCCAAUCGAACCUGGAGAUAGCUGGUUCUCUCCGAAAUAGCUUUAGGGCUAGCCUCAAGGUAAGAGUCUCGGAGGUAGAGCACUGAUUGGACUAGGGGCCCCUACCGGGUUACCGAAUUCAGUCAAACUCCGAAUGCCGAUGACUUAUCCUUGGGAGUCAGACUGCGAGUGAUAAGAUCCGUAGUCGAAAGGGAAACAGCCCAGACCGCCAGCUAAGGUCCCAAAGUAUACGUUAAGUGGAAAAGGAUGUGGAGUUGCUUAGACAACCAGGAUGUUGGCUUAGAAGCAGCCACCAUUUAAAGAGUGCGUAAUAGCUCACUGGUCGAGUGACUCUGCGCCGAAAAUGUACCGGGGCUAAACGUAUCACCGAAGCUGCGGACUGUUCUUCGAACAGUGGUAGGAGAGCGUUCUAAGGGCUGUGAAGCAAGACCGGAAGGACUUGUGGAGCGCUUAGAAGUGAGAAUGCCGGUAUGAGUAGCGAAAGAGGGGUGAGAAUCCCCUCCACCGAAUGCCUAAGGUUUCCUGAGGAAGGCUCGUCCGCUCAGGGUUAGUCGGGACCUAAGCCGAGGCCGAAAGGCGUAGGCGAUGGAUAACAGGUUGAUAUUCCUGUACCACCUCCUCACCAUUUGAGCAAUGGGGGGACGCAGGAGGAUAGGGUAAGCGCGGUAUUGGAUAUCCGCGUCCAAGCAGUUAGGCUGGGAAAUAGGCAAAUCCGUUUCCCGUGAAGGCUGAGCUGUGAUGGCGAGCGAAUUAUAGUAGCGAAGUUCCUGAUUCCACACUGCCAAGAAAAGCCUCUAGCGAGGUGAGAGGUGCCCGUACCGCAAACCGACACAGGUAGGCGAGGAGAGAAUCCUAAGGUGAUCGAGAGAACUCUCGUUAAGGAACUCGGCAAAAUGACCCCGUAACUUCGGGAGAAGGGGUGCUCUGUUAGGGUGCAAGCCCGAGAGAGCCGCAGUGAAUAGGCCCAGGCGACUGUUUAGCAAAAACACAGGUCUCUGCGAAGCCGUAAGGCGAAGUAUAGGGGCUGACGCCUGCCCGGUGCUGGAAGGUUAAGAGGAGCGCUUAGCGUAAGCGAAGGUGCGAAUUGAAGCCCCAGUAAACGGCGGCCGUAACUAUAACGGUCCUAAGGUAGCGAAAUUCCUUGUCGGGUAAGUUCCGACCCGCACGAAAGGCGCAACGAUCUGGGCACUGUCUCAACGAGAGACUCGGUGAAAUUAUAGUACCUGUGAAGAUGCAGGUUACCCGCGACAGGACGGAAAGACCCCGUGGAGCUUUACUGCAGCCUGAUAUUGAAUGUUGGUACAGCUUGUACAGGAUAGGUAGGAGCCUUGGAAACCGGAGCGCCAGCUUCGGUGGAGGCAUCGGUGGGAUACUACCCUGGCUGUAUUGACCUUCUAACCCGCCGCCCUUAUCGGGCGGGGAGACAGUGUCAGGUGGGCAGUUUGACUGGGGCGGUCGCCUCCUAAAAGGUAACGGAGGCGCCCAAAGGUUCCCUCAGAAUGGUUGGAAAUCAUUCGCAGAGUGUAAAGGCACAAGGGAGCUUGACUGCGAGACCUACAAGUCGAGCAGGGACGAAAGUCGGGCUUAGUGAUCCGGUGGUUCCGCAUGGAAGGGCCAUCGCUCAACGGAUAAAAGCUACCCCGGGGAUAACAGGCUUAUCUCCCCCAAGAGUCCACAUCGACGGGGAGGUUUGGCACCUCGAUGUCGGCUCAUCGCAUCCUGGGGCUGUAGUCGGUCCCAAGGGUUGGGCUGUUCGCCCAUUAAAGCGGUACGCGAGCUGGGUUCAGAACGUCGUGAGACAGUUCGGUCCCUAUCCGUCGCGGGCGCAGGAAAUUUGAGAGGAGCUGUCCUUAGUACGAGAGGACCGGGAUGGACGCACCGCUGGUGUACCAGUUGUUCUGCCAAGGGCAUCGCUGGGUAGCUAUGUGCGGACGGGAUAAGUGCUGAAAGCAUCUAAGCAUGAAGCCCCCCUCAAGAUGAGAUUUCCCAUUCCGCAAGGAAGUAAGAUCCCUGAAAGAUGAUCAGGUUGAUAGGUCUGAGGUGGAAGUGUGGUGACACAUGGAGCUGACAGAUACUAAUCGAUCGAGGACUUAACCAA